UCAGGGACAGCUUGUCAUCAGUCUUGGUUUUGCAGUGUCCAAUGAAGACUCUGCUCUGGUUUUGGAGGCUGCUCAGAGGUCCAGCUCAGAACCAGGCUGUUCUUCUACGAAUGGCAAGGUGUCUUGGUGCCUAUGGAGUUUAUCAGCAUCCAGAAUCCCAGCUCUUGUGUGGGUUUUACAGUAAAUAGCUCCAGCUAUGUGGCAGUUUCCCAUGCACACAGCACCACUGCAACUGCAACAAUCAGUUUAUUUCAUCUUCAGGCAGACCUCAACCUCACUCAAGAGCAGAAUCUUACUGUGGACAGUUUCAGCAAUAUUUGAUAGCUUCCAGUAAGAUUUUUGUGUGGGCUGGAGGCUCAUUCUCGCUUCAAAGUCUGGAGUUACAAGACGUUGCCACAGCCGUACCCUUCAGACAAAGCAGCAGCAAUUUACAACACCUGGCCGUGUGCAGGAUCAUAUCAUCAUCGGUGUAUCUCAUAUACCAGGGGGAGUA
Long non-coding RNA from Cyprinus carpio (common carp), 493 nucleotides. RefSeq lists it as uncharacterized. The record is from RefSeq and is a predicted model, not a curated record. NCBI's taxonomy places the organism in Eukaryota, Metazoa, Chordata, Actinopteri, Cypriniformes, Cyprinidae. The transcript has 4 exons.